CCACGGGAGGCAGCAGUGGGGAAUAUUGGACAAUGGGCGAAAGCCUGAUCCAGCCAUGCCGCGUGUGUGAAGAAGGCCUUCGGGUUGUAAAGCACUUUCAGUGGGGAAGAAAGCCUUGGGGCUAAUACCCUCGAGGAAGGACAUCACCCACAGAAGAAGCACCGGCUAACUCCGUGCCAGCAGCCGCGGUAAUACGGAGGGUGCGAGCGUUAAUCGGAAUUACUGGGCGUAAAGCGCGCGUAGGCGGUCUGAUAAGCCGGUUGUGAAAGCCCCGGGCUCAACCUGGGAACGGCAUCCGGAACUGUCAGGCUAGAGUGCAGGAGAGGAAGGUAGAAUUCCCGGUGUAGCGGUGAAAUGCGUAGAGAUCGGGAGGAAUACCAGUGGCGAAGGCGGCCUUCUGGACUGACACUGACGCUGAGGUGCGAAAGCGUGGGUAGCAAACAGGAUUAGAUACCCCGGUAGUC
This 464-nucleotide ribosomal RNA is filed under the name Vreelandella stevensii. RNAcentral describes it as "partial 16S ribosomal RNA". It matches the Rfam family "Bacterial small subunit ribosomal RNA", at positions 339 to 795 of the family's 1533-position model. Lineage: Bacteria; Pseudomonadati; Pseudomonadota; Gammaproteobacteria; Oceanospirillales; Halomonadaceae. The record is from RNAcentral.